This is a long non-coding RNA of Nomascus leucogenys (northern white-cheeked gibbon), 3174 nucleotides long. RefSeq lists it as uncharacterized. The record is from RefSeq and is a predicted model, not a curated record. The transcript is spliced from 4 exons. NCBI's taxonomy places the organism in Eukaryota, Metazoa, Chordata, Mammalia, Primates, Hylobatidae.
AGAGUUGUUACAAAGUUUUAAACAGCCAGAUCUCACAAGAACUCACUAUCAUGAGAAGAGCCAGAGGGAAAUCUGUCCUCGUGAUUCAAUCACUUCCCACCAGAUCACUCCUCCAACACUGGGGAUUAUCAUUCAAUAUGAGAUUUGGGAAGGGACACAAAUUCAAAUCAUAUCAUAAGGACAAAAUUCACUGGGUUAGGGCCCUUCCUAAUGACCUCAUUUUAACUUAAUUACCUCCUUAAAGGCCCUAUCUCCAAAAACAGUCACAUUCUGAGGCACUGGGGAUCAAGACUUCCGUGUAUGAAUUUUGAGGGAACACAAUUCAGUCCAUAAUAGGAAGGAAUUUAUAUUCCCUUGAGGAAGGGCCUCCACAAACAUAUGUAGUAAUCAUUCUUUUAAUACCUCCCUAAAGAUACCUUGGAGCCUGUAUUAGGGAAUGGAGAGUGCCCAAACUCUCCAGGAUGCUGAUACCAGAGGACCUGAAACCCCACCAUAGGAUGAGGGGGGUUACAAAGAUGAGGUGAGAAAGAGAACUUCCCCCCAAGUUCAUAUCACAGUGGUCUCCAAUUCCCACUGAAUGACUCAGUAGUUAAUUUCUUAGUCUCUAAGUAUGUAACUGAGUAGAUAUCAAGUAGCUGGCAUGCUCUCACUUUAGUUCUCUGACUUGCAACAGAAGAGCCAUAUUGUAGAAAACGUUAAGUGGAAGCACUUUAACCUGCCACUGAACUCUGUCAAGAUUGUGAAGAAGCAAUAUUGCAAGCCAGGAGGAUUUUUAGAGAUUAUUACUCCCUCAGAAAUAAGUUACUCAAGACUGGUUAUUCUCAAGGUACACUUUUUUGAUUCACCUGUUUUUCCUCUGUAAAACCAGAUGGAUCAUAGCAAACAAAAAAAUUAUAAACUUAAUCAAGUGUUAGCCUUACUUACAGGUGCUUCUUGCUGAAAAUAGUUCUUUACUGAAACACAUCAACAUGGCCUGUGCUAUGAUCUGUUGAAUACACUGUUUUCCAUCCCUAUCAGUAAGGAAGCUAGAAAGAAAUUCUCUUUUACGUGGGAGAUGCAGCAGUACACAUUCCUGUCUUUCCCCAAGGCUGCGUUAACUAUUUCAUUGCCUGUUGUGGGAAAACAAUACUGUUUCACAGGAAAUUUCAUCAUCUUGAUAUUGUGCAGAACAGCAUUAUUUGUCCAUUAAAAUAAGAAAAAAAUGCUAAUUGGGCCUAGAAAGCAGUAAGUAAUCUGAUAAGACAUAGUUGCCAGGGGGUAGAAGAUAAAUGCCGUGAAGAUUGGGGCCAGGCAUGCCCUAUUAUGAAGUUUAUAGUUAUCCAGUGGUCAGAAGAACAACGAGGCAUUCUGUUUAAAAUACAGAUUGCUGCAUUUUGAACCCCCAUGACAAAAAAAAAGAAAUACAUCACUAGGUGAUCUUUUGACACUGAGAGAACAAUUGGAAAUUCUAUUUUGACCUAUUUAUGAAGUGUCUUAUAAGGCUGACAGUUUUGCAUAGUGCCCGGAGCAAGAGAAGUUGUUGCAGAAAGUCUAAGCUUGAUCCAAGCUGUCCUGGCUCAAGUUACAUAUGACCUAGCAGAUCUGUUGAUGCUAGAAAUAAUCAUGGUAGAUAAAAAGGCUUUGUGGCAUCUCUGGCAAGUCAAAGUAGGGGAGUCACUGCACAAACUCUGAGGACUGUGGAGCCAAACCAUGCUUUAUGUGUCAUAGAACUAUCAGGCCUUGAAAAAUAGCUUCCUUUGUGCUAAUGAGCCCUAAUAGAAACUGAAGGCCUGAUCAUGGGAUACCAAGAAACUGUGUAUUGGAGCUUCCCAUGAUGUCAUAUGGCAGGCAGCAAUUAAUUGUGUUACAGAAUGAUACAUUCAGGACAGUACCUGAGCAGAAGUGCCCUAACACUCACUAAACAGGAAGGAAAAUACUUGGAUGUACUUUUCAGAUAGGUUGUUACUGGUACUGGCCAUAGAUUGUCUAUUGCUGUAUUAUUCUUCCAUUCAGGAGUGGCUCUAAAUGACAAACAGUGAAGGGAAACCUGCUAAUAACAGAGUUGUCAGCAGCACAUUUGGUCAUUUUCUUUACAUGCAGAUUUUCAUGUCUCACAUUAAGACUCACAAGAAAGUAUUCACUGCAGAAUAAGCACCAAAUAGUCCUGAGGGCAGGAUUACUUUUCCCAGGAAUGUCAGAAGACUUUCUCCUCAGCCAACUCAAUCCUGGAGAAAUGAGCCAUGGAUGAAGUGGCUUUUCCACUAUUGUAUGUUACACAAUAGUGUGUGAGAGUAAAGGCCUCAUUUAUGACAAAAUUGUUGCAACAAUAGGAAUACAACAAUGGGUUCCUCCAGUGUUAUUAUCAACCUUGCCUCCCAGAGCAUCCAAUCUAAUAGAAACGAGCUAUAUUAUGUUAAAGUCUCAGCACACCAAAGGGAAAAAAAUAGAUGAGUUGUUUUCAAAUAAUGAAACCUGCUUCUCAAGAGAGCAGUUGUCUAUGAAGCAAAAACUGUCUGUUUACUCUUUGUGACUGCCUACUUCACCUAUUAUCCAUCACCUCUCUGACCUUGAAGAAUUCUUUCUGAAUGUGUUUACAAAGAUGCCUGGCUUUCUCCACAGAACAGAAUACAUCAACAUUAUAUACUCUUGAGCUUCUCAUCUAGCAAAGUUGUACCUCUAGAUAGAAUAUGAUCCUCUGACUCAAGUCAGAAUUCAGUAAGAUUCAGACCAACUUGAUUUGGAUAAGACGCCAUCAUUUGUGGCUAGAGAGAAAUUAACAGAGAAGUUUCCAUAAAACCACAUUUGUAAAACUGAGAGUUAGAGAGGGUAAAUUCAAUAAGUAGGAGUUUGUUGAGGAUACAAUAGGUCCACUACAAUAACCAUGAAAAUGUAAAUUAACUAAUAGAGUCUUUCUAAAUGUAUGCUUCUUUUACUAUUUUAAGUGGGCUAAGUUUUAUAGUACUAUAGAACAGUGAUUUGACUGUCUAGACCUAUUCAUAAAAGUUUUUGAAAGCCAUUUUUCAGUGAGCUUAUUAUAUAUUAUAAUAUAUGGAGUAUCUUUAUUAUUGAGACUAUAUAUUCUUUAGAAAAGCUCUUUCCAAUAGAAAUAUAUGAGCCACAUGUGUAAUUUUAAGUUUUCUGGCACACAUUUUUAAAAAGUAAAAACAAACAAGUGAAAUUAAUUUUAAUGGUAUA